Molecule: long non-coding RNA, 428 nt
Filed under: Cercocebus atys (sooty mangabey)
Lineage: Eukaryota; Metazoa; Chordata; Mammalia; Primates; Cercopithecidae
Description: lncRNA (ENSCATG00000045565.1)
Source: RNAcentral
UAGUUCCUCCAACAGUUCACAAUCACCCACAUCUUCUCCAAAACCCACAGGUCAAGAAAUGCAUCUGAGAUCUGCUGGGCCACCUCCUGCUAGUCUGUGAUGUCAUCCAUCUGUUCAUCUACCUUGCCAGUGUCCAGGUCCUGGGAGGCCUUCUUUAUGCCUCGGGCAGCUAACUACAAGGCUUUCUACAUGAUUGCAGCACGUUGAAGUUUCUCAUUUUACAGUGAAGCAACCCAAAAGAAGUUUAGAAGCUUCUCCAAGCCCAGGCGGCUAGUUGAAAUAAGAAGAGGUAAAUUGCAACGGAGAGAAAUGAACCCAGAGCUGGGCCUACUGCUCCACAGAGUAACCAUGUGCAGAUGGGUAUACCAAAAUGCGCGAACACUGUUUCAGAGUGCCUGGUGCUGAGACACAAGGACUGCUUCUGUUCC